RNAcentral lists this ribosomal RNA (247 nucleotides) under uncultured bacterium. RNAcentral describes it as "partial 16S ribosomal RNA". It matches the Rfam family "Bacterial small subunit ribosomal RNA", at positions 109 to 353 of the family's 1533-position model. The record is from RNAcentral.
AGUAACACGUAUCCAACCCUGCCGUCUACUCUUGGACAGCCUUCUGAAAGGAAGAUUAAUACAAGAUGGCAUCAUGAGUCCGCAUGUUCACAUGAUUAAAGGUAUUCCGGUAGACGAUGGGGAUGCGUUCCAUUAGAUAGUAGGCGGGGUAACGGCCCACCUAGUCUUCGAUGGAUAGGGGUUCUGAGAGGAAGGUCCCCCACAUUGGAACUGAGACACGGUCCAAACUCCUACGGGAGGCAGCAUG